UCAAGAUUUGGACGUGGUAAGCUUGCAAUCAUCGUCAUUGAGGUUCACGAGAUUAAAGAGUAGAGUUUUCUUCAAGGAAAGAGCUUUAAGAACGCAAUGGACAUCGUCUCCGUUUGAUAAGAUGACAGAUCUUUCCGUAACCGAGCAGAAGAUAUUGAUGAUGGAGGCAAACGCUGCCCAGAGGGGUGCAUGUGGGGCAUUCGUAAUCAAGUCGAACAU
Molecule: non-coding RNA, 219 nt
Organism: Vicia faba (fava bean)
Lineage: Eukaryota; Viridiplantae; Streptophyta; Magnoliopsida; Fabales; Fabaceae
Source: the annotation of a GenBank genome assembly